RNAcentral lists this non-coding RNA (67 nucleotides) under human gut metagenome. RNAcentral's name for it is "Glycine riboswitch". It matches the Rfam family "Glycine riboswitch aptamer", at positions 7 to 88 of the family's 94-position model. From Rfam's summary of the family: This family represents the bacterial glycine riboswitch. Glycine riboswitches usually consist of two metabolite-binding aptamers domains with similar structures in tandem. The aptamers cooperatively bind glycine to regulate the expression of downstream genes. The record is from RNAcentral.
GAAUCCGGGAGAGACUGGUUAACAGCGCCGAAGGGGAGAGAAACUCUCAGGCAAAAGGACCGGAUUU